AACGCGAAGAACCUUACCAAGGCUUGACAUAUACGAGAACACCGUAGAAAUACGGGACUCUUUGGACACUCGUAAACAGGUGGUGCAUGGUUGUCGUCAGCUCGUGUCGUGAGAUGUUGGGUUAAGUCCCGCAACGAGCGCAACCCUCGUUCUAUGUUGCCAGCACGUAAUGGUGGGAACUCAUGGGAUACUGCCGGGGUCAACUCGGAGGAAGGUGGGGAUGACGUCAAAUCAUCAUGCCCCUUAUGUCUUGGGCUUCACGCAUGCUACAAUGGCCGGUACAAAGGGCUGCAAUACCGCGAGGUGGAGCGAAUCCCAAAAAGCCGGUCCCAGUUCGGAUUGAGGUCUGCAACUCGACCUCAUGAAGUCGGAGUCGCUAGUAAUCGCAGAUCAGCAACGCUGCGGUGAAUACGUUCCCGGGCCUUGUACACACCGCGCAUA
Molecule: ribosomal RNA, 441 nt
Filed under: uncultured bacterium
Lineage: Bacteria
Description: bacterial SSU rRNA
Rfam family: Bacterial small subunit ribosomal RNA
Source: RNAcentral